CAGAGUUUGAUCCUGGCUCAGAGCGAACGCUGGCGGCAGGCUUAACACAUGCAAGUCGAACGGGCGUAGCAAUACGUCAGUGGCAGACGGGUGAGUAACGCGUGGGAACGUACCUUUUGGUUCGGAACAACACAGGGAAACUUGUGCUAAUACCGGAUAAGCCCUUACGGGGAAAGAUUUAUCGCCGAAAGAUCGGCCCGCGUCUGAUUAGCUAGUUGGUGAGGUAAUGGCUCACCAAGGCGACGAUCAGUAGCUGGUCUGAGAGGAUGUCCAGCCACACUGGGACUGAGACACGGCCCAGACUCCUACGGGAGGCAGCAGUGGGGAAUCUUGCACAAUGGGCGAAAGCCUGAUGCAGCGACGCCGCGUGCGGGAUGAAGGCCCUCGGGUCGUAAACCGCUUUCAGCAGGGAAGAUAAUGACGGUACCUGCAGAAGAAGCUCCGGCUAACUUCGUGCCAGCAGCCGCGGUAAUA
RNAcentral lists this ribosomal RNA (474 nucleotides) under uncultured bacterium. RNAcentral describes it as "bacterial SSU rRNA". It matches the Rfam family "Bacterial small subunit ribosomal RNA", at positions 8 to 525 of the family's 1533-position model. The record is from RNAcentral.